GGGGAAUAUUGGACAAUGGGGGGAACCCUGAUCCAGCCAUGCCGCGUGUGUGAAGAAGGCCUUAUGGUUGUAAAGCACUUUAAGCGAGGAGGAGGCUCUUUUGGUUAAUACCCAAGAUGAGUGGACGUUACUCGCAGAAUAAGCACCGGCUAACUCUGUGCCAGCAGCCGCGGUAAUACAGAGGGUGCGAGCGUUAAUCGGAUUUACUGGGCGUAAAGCGUGCGUAGGCGGCUUUUUAAGUCGGAUGUGAAAUCCCCGAGCUUAACUUGGGAAUUGCAUUCGAUACUGGGAAGCUAGAGUAUGGGAGAGGAUGGUAGAAUUCCAGGUGUAGCGGUGAAAUGCGUAGAGAUCUGGAGGAAUACCGAUGGCGAAGGCAGCCAUCUGGCCUAAUACUGACGCUGAGGUACGAAAGCAUGGGGAGCAAACA
Molecule: ribosomal RNA, 427 nt
Filed under: uncultured Acinetobacter sp.
Lineage: Bacteria; Pseudomonadati; Pseudomonadota; Gammaproteobacteria; Moraxellales; Moraxellaceae
Description: bacterial SSU rRNA
Rfam family: Bacterial small subunit ribosomal RNA
Source: RNAcentral